Molecule: ribosomal RNA, 468 nt
Filed under: uncultured bacterium
Lineage: Bacteria
Description: partial 16S ribosomal RNA
Rfam family: Bacterial small subunit ribosomal RNA
Source: RNAcentral
GACGAACGCUGGCGGCGUGCUUAACACAUGCAAGUCGAACGGAAAGGCCCUGCUUUUGUGGGGUGCUCGAGUGGCGAACGGGUGAGUAACACGUGAGUAACCUGCCCUUGACUUUGGGAUAACUUCAGGAAACUGGGGCUAAUACCGGAUAGGAGCUCCUGCUGCAUGGUGGGGGUUGGAAAGUUUCGGCGGUUGGGGAUGGACUCGCGGCUUAUCAGCUUGUUGGUGGGGUAGUGGCUUACCAAGGCUUUGACGGGUAGCCGGCCUGAGAGGGUGACCGGCCACAUUGGGACUGAGAUACGGCCCAGACUGCUACGGGAGGCAGCAGUGGGGAAUAUUGCACAAUGGGCGGAAGCCUGAUGCAGCAACGCCGCGUGCGGGAUGACGGCCUUCGGGUUGUAAACCGCUUUCGCCGGUGACGAAGCGUGAGUGACGGUAAUGGGUAAAGAAGCACCGGCUAACUACGUG